Molecule: long non-coding RNA, 909 nt
Filed under: Piliocolobus tephrosceles (Ugandan red Colobus)
Lineage: Eukaryota; Metazoa; Chordata; Mammalia; Primates; Cercopithecidae
Description: lncRNA (ENSPTEG00000015571.1)
Source: RNAcentral
AGGAGCAACUGAAGAAAAAGGAGCAACAGAAGAAAAAGGAGCAACAGAAGAAAAAGGAGCAACUGAAGAAAAAGGAGCAACUGAAGAAAAAGGAGCAACUAAAGAAAAAGGAGCAACAGACGAAGUAUCAAAUAUAGCAGUGCCAAACAUAGGAGAUAUAAAAAAUAAUCCUUCAGAUAAACCAAAAGAUGUUAUGCAAUCAAACGUUAAUUUAUAUAACGCUCUAAAUGAAGUAACAAAGGCAGAAGAAGCAGUUAAAACAGCUAAGAAAGAACAUGAUAAGGCUAUAACAGCAGCAAAUAAGGCAAAACAAGCUGAACAUGAAGCAGAUAAAGAUGCAAAAAAAAAAGAAGCAGAUGCUCAAAUAGCAAAAAAUGCAAUAAACGAUAAAACUGGAGAUGAUAAAAAAAAGGCAGAAGAAGAAGCGAUAAAAAAAGAAGCAGAAGCUAAAGAGGCAAAGGAUAAAGCAGAAAAAGCUAAAUUAGAGGCACAAACAUUAGAAAUAGCAAAAAAUGUGGCUAAACAAAACCAUAAAGUUAAAACAGCAGAAGUUAAAGUAGCAGAAGCUAUGGCAAAUGUAUAUAAACUAGAAGCAAUUAUAUUACAUGCAGAAAAAGAAAAAAAAAGUGAUCAAGUGACAAAGAAAAGAGAAGAACUUAAAACAGCAGAAAGUGUAGUACAAGCAGCUAAAAGCGAAGUAGUAAAAGCUAAAGAAGACGUAGAAAAGGCAAAAAAGGAAGAGAUAGUAAAUAAUGAAGAGGGCUUUAUUGCAAAAUAUAAAAAACCCUUGAUAGGAAGUGGUAUUUUAGGUACAUUGGGACUUAUCCUGUCUAGUGCUUUUUACUUUAUGUAAAAUUUGAAAAAGAGAAAAGAAAUGAUUAAUAAAAAGUAGAAAAAAGUUUAUCCCCA